Molecule: non-coding RNA, 92 nt
Organism: Paramuricea clavata
Lineage: Eukaryota; Metazoa; Cnidaria; Anthozoa; Malacalcyonacea; Plexauridae
Source: the annotation of a GenBank genome assembly
UUAUGUACUAGGUGAAUAUGAUGUUUGUGAUGUUACUUGUCCGGUGUGGAUAUACACUCAGAGUAACAUCACAAACAUCAUAUUCACCUGAG